RNAcentral lists this unclassified non-coding RNA (383 nucleotides) under uncultured Armatimonadota bacterium. RNAcentral's name for it is "uncultured Armatimonadetes bacterium contains 16S-23S intergenic spacer region". The record is from RNAcentral. Lineage: Bacteria; Bacillati; Armatimonadota.
UCCGGCUUACGCCGGCGGUUUCUCGUGAGUCCCCAGCAUUACCUGAUGGUAACACGAGAUGAGGGUUGCGCUCGUUGCUGGACUUAACCAAACACCUCACGGCACGAGCUGACGACAGCCAUGCAACAGGUGUCUUCAGGUUAGGCUUGUGGCCUAAGGGCCCUAUUUCUAGAGCUUGCCAUCGAUGUCAAGUCUGGGUAAGGUUCUUCGGUUAGUAUCGAAUUAAUCCACAUGCUCCACCGCUUGUGCGGGUCCCCGUCAAUUCAUUUGAGUUUCAACCUUGCGGCCGUAGUCCCCAGGCGGGAUACUUAUUGCGUUAGCUGCGACACCGGGGGGGUCGAUACCUCCGACGUCUAGUAUCCAUCGUUUAGGGCGUGGACUAC